GGAGUGGCUGUAGCUUAGUGGAAGAGCCUCUGCUUUACAUGCAUAAGGUCCCAGGUUCAAUUCCUGGCAUCUCCA
Molecule: non-coding RNA, 75 nt
Organism: Euleptes europaea (tarantolino)
Lineage: Eukaryota; Metazoa; Chordata; Lepidosauria; Squamata; Sphaerodactylidae
Source: the annotation of a RefSeq genome assembly